AGGGGGGCUGCUCCUAGUACGAGAGGACCGGAGUGGACGCAUCACUGGUGUUCGGGUUGUCAUGCCAAUGGCACUGCCCGGUAGCUAAAUGCGGAAGAGAUAAGUGCUGAAAGCAUCUAAGCACGAAACUUGCCCCGAGAUGAGUUCUCCCUGAGACCUUGAGUCUCCUGAAGGAACGUUGAAGACGACGACGUUGAUAGGUCGGGUGUGUAAGCGCAGCGAUGCGUUGAGCUAACCGAUACUAAUGAACCGUGAGGCUUAACCUUACAACGCCGAAGGUGUUU
RNAcentral lists this ribosomal RNA (284 nucleotides) under Enterobacter hormaechei subsp. xiangfangensis. Its description in RNAcentral is "partial 23S ribosomal RNA". It matches the Rfam family "Bacterial large subunit ribosomal RNA", at positions 2665 to 2925 of the family's 2925-position model. The record is from RNAcentral. Lineage: Bacteria; Pseudomonadati; Pseudomonadota; Gammaproteobacteria; Enterobacterales; Enterobacteriaceae.